RNAcentral lists this long non-coding RNA (1067 nucleotides) under Equus caballus (horse). Its description in RNAcentral is "lncRNA (ENSECAG00000041676.2)". Lineage: Eukaryota; Metazoa; Chordata; Mammalia; Perissodactyla; Equidae. The record is from RNAcentral.
CAGGAUUUCUCUGUGGGUUUAAUUGCUCUGUGUCUGCAUUCCAAUCCCUCCCCAUGGGAACCACAGUCCCCUUGGUCACUGACUACCACAGACCUCUCUGUGUCUCCCUAGGUCAUGUGGGGACACAGCAAGGGAACUUGCCCAGGUCACACAGCUAGUUAGGUGGCAGAGGUGGGGCUCAGCUCUAGAGCUCCUAACCUGUACUCAGUGCUCUCUCCAUAAUACCACAGGCUGACAUCCACAUCGCACACCUACCACGUGUGAUCAGAGUGAUGGGCAAAAUAGGGAACAUUGGUGGAAAUGCUGUGGAGAGCAUGUUGAAGUUCAGACAGCAGCAGAACUGAGUGAUUGACAAGACUCUUGAGAAGACGAGGAACUUGAAUGGGUUGGUUAACUCUGUUACAGGAACAGUUUCUGGACGCCUCAUUCACCAGCGGUGUGGUCUUCGACACUCUCUGCACUCUUUGGACUAUGUCUGCUUCAUCAGUGCCUUCAUCCCAACCAGCCCAAUGCCCGACACACGGCCCUUCUUGAACAUAGCAUCUGGGCAGCAUUUGAACUCGUCAGUGCUGAGGCCAAAGGUAGCUGAGCUCUUAUGGAGGCUGGAGGUGGACUUGCAGGAAGCUGUGGUGAUGACUGACAGGGCAAACGCAUGCACUUAAGACCCAGACUUUGUCCAGGACCCUGCAGAAGUCACGGAGGAGAUGUGGGUAUCAAAAAAUCCUCAAUCCUUUUUGCUUAGCAAGGGAUGGAAAGACCAUUGUAGAGAAUUUCUCCAAUCGAAGGACACCUAUGAAUAAGCAGACGGGACAGACACGGUUGUGAAGCUGUCAUGCUGUGGGUUAGCCCAAGCAGAGAUCUCCACGUGAAUAAGAGUCGAGGCCACCGGCCAACAGCCUUGGCUGAGUUCCCAGGCAACAAUGAGCACCACUUGCCAGCCAUGUGAGUGAGCCUUUCUGGACAUGGAGCUGCCUCAGUCUACACAACAUGGAGCAGAGAUGAGCCAUUUCUGCUAAGCCCUGCCCAAAUUACAAAACCAGACUAAAUAAAUUGUUGUUUUAAACUGU